AUAGAAAUUCCCGUUGAUCCUGCGGGAGGUUGCUGCUAUUGGGAUUCGACUAAGCCAUGCAAGUCAAGGGGUUCUUCGGAACACCGGCAAACUGCUCAGUAACACGUCGAUAAUCUGCCCUUAGGUCGG
This 129-nucleotide ribosomal RNA is filed under the name Candidatus Woesearchaeota archaeon. RNAcentral describes it as "partial 16S ribosomal RNA". It matches the Rfam family "Archaeal small subunit ribosomal RNA", at positions 1 to 123 of the family's 1478-position model. Lineage: Archaea; Nanobdellati; Candidatus Woesearchaeota. The record is from RNAcentral.